Molecule: ribosomal RNA, 253 nt
Filed under: uncultured bacterium
Lineage: Bacteria
Description: partial 16S ribosomal RNA
Rfam family: Bacterial small subunit ribosomal RNA
Source: RNAcentral
UACGAAGGGGGCUAGCGUUGCUCGGAAUCACUGGGCGUAAAGGGUGCGUAGGCGGGUUUUUAAGUCAGGGGUGAAAUCCUGGAGCUCAACUCCAGAACUGCCUUUGAUACUGAAGAUCUUGAGUCCGGGAGAGGUGAGUGGAACUGCGAGUGUAGAGGUGAAAUUCGUAGAUAUUCGCAAGAACACAAGUGGCGAAGGCGGCUCACUGGCCCGGUACUGACGCUGAGGCACGAAAGCGUGGGGAGCAAACAGG